Small nuclear RNA from Camelus ferus (Wild Bactrian camel), 107 nucleotides. The record is from Rfam. NCBI's taxonomy places the organism in Eukaryota, Metazoa, Chordata, Mammalia, Artiodactyla, Camelidae.
GUGCUUGCUUCGGCAGCACAUAUACUAAAAUUGGACCGAUACAAAGAAGAUUAGCAUGGCUCCUGCACAAGGAUGACACGCAAAUUCGUGAAGUGUUCCAUAUUUUU